AGGGUUUGAUCCUGGCUCAGGACGAACGCUGGCGGCAUGCCUAACACAUGCAAGUCGAACGAGAAAGUUCCUUCGGGAGCAAUUAAAGUGGCGCACGGGUGAGUAACGCGUAGACAAUCUGCCCUUCAGUCUGGGACAACUUUUCGAAAGGAGAGCUAAUACCGGAUGACAAUGUAACACAUAAGUGUCACAUUUGAAAGCUUUAUGUGCUGAAGGAGGGGUCUGCGUCCCAUUAGCUAGUUGGUAAGGUAAAGGCUUACCAAGGCAACGAUGGGUAGCGGGUUUGAGAGGACGAUCCGCCACACUGGAACUGAGACACGGUCCAGACUCCUACGGGAGGCAGCAGUGGGGAAUAUUGCACAAUGGAGGCAACUCUGAUGCAGCAAUGUCGCGUGAGUGAAGAAGGCCCUUGGGUCGUAAAGCUCUUUUAUGGGGGAAGAUGAUGACGGUACCCCAAGAAUAAGCACCGG
Molecule: ribosomal RNA, 470 nt
Filed under: uncultured bacterium
Lineage: Bacteria
Description: bacterial SSU rRNA
Rfam family: Bacterial small subunit ribosomal RNA
Source: RNAcentral